Molecule: non-coding RNA, 74 nt
Organism: Pteropus alecto (black flying fox)
Lineage: Eukaryota; Metazoa; Chordata; Mammalia; Chiroptera; Pteropodidae
Source: Rfam
GGCUCCAUAGUAUAGUGGUUAGCAUGUCUACUUUACAAGGAGAAGGUCCUGGGUUCGCACCCCCGGUGGAGCCA